UACGUAGGGUGCAAGCGUUGUCCGGAAUUAUUGGGCGUAAAGAGCUUGUAGGCGGUUUGUCGCGUCUGCUGUGAAAUUUCGGGGCUCAACCCCGAACUUGCAGUGGAUACGGGCAGACUAGAGGUAGGUAGGGGAGAAUGGAAUUCCUGGUGUAGCGGUGAAAUGCGCAGAUAUCAGGAGGAACACCGGUGGCGAAGGCGGUUCUCUGGGCCUUACCUGACACUGAGGAGCGAAAGCGUGGGGAGCGAACAGG
This 253-nucleotide ribosomal RNA is filed under the name uncultured bacterium. RNAcentral describes it as "partial 16S ribosomal RNA". It matches the Rfam family "Bacterial small subunit ribosomal RNA", at positions 524 to 776 of the family's 1533-position model. The record is from RNAcentral.